AUUGAACGCUGGCGGCAUGCCUUACACAUGCAAGUCGAACGGCAGCACGGGAGCAAUCCUGGUGGCGAGUGGCGAACGGGUGAGUAAUAUAUCGGAACGUGCCCAGUCGUGGGGGAUAACGUAGCGAAAGCUACGCUAAUACCGCAUACGAUCUAUGGAUGAAAGCGGGGGAUCGCAAGACCUCGCGCGAUUGGAGCGGCCGAUAUCAGAUUAGGUAGUUGGUGAGGUAAAGGCUCGCCAAGCCGACGAUCUGUAGCUGGUCUGAGAGGACGACCAGCCACACUGGGACUGAGACACGGCCCAGACUCCUACGGGAGGCAGCAGUGGGGGAAUUUUUGGACAAUGGGCGCAAGCCUGAUCCAGCAAUGCCGCGUGCAGGAUGAAGGCCUGG
RNAcentral lists this ribosomal RNA (391 nucleotides) under uncultured bacterium. RNAcentral describes it as "bacterial SSU rRNA". It matches the Rfam family "Bacterial small subunit ribosomal RNA", at positions 29 to 419 of the family's 1533-position model. The record is from RNAcentral.